GCAUAGAUAUUAACUAGAAGUAGAAGACAACUAGAUAAGUUAGUUUUGUUUACAAAUUUUACAUUGUAUGCAUGAAUGUAUACAUAGUAUUUGUAAAUAUUGAGUUAAUUCAUCUAUUUAUACAAAGACUGUCUAAUAAAAAUCUUGUAACAGGAAAUGUGAGUUUCAGAAACUGUGUGUCUCAGACAAAAAUUAUUCUAAAAUUAAAUACCUCACCUACAAACAACAAAUUACAAAAUAUAUAAUUUGGGUAUAUUGGACAGGUUUCCUCUGUUAGUAUAGACUACAUGUGUAGGAUAUUAGCACACUGACUAAAUGGAAAUUCAAUAUUUAAUAUUCUAUAAAAUCUGUUUUGUUUACACAAGUCUCACAAACUAUGCAAUAUUCCUGACUGGAAAGUUUGCAAAGGGUGCAGCUAAUUUUUGUUUUAUUAAUAGGUAAAAUAGUAUUAUGCCGCAAACUACAAACUUUCCAGACUGCGGCCAAUAUGAGACUCCUAUAGUCGAACCUCCAUUAAGGCUUAAGCAGCCCUCCUUUACGAAGCAUGCUUAAUAUUUUGCUUUAUACACAUAUUAAUCACACAGUAAAUAUAAUGUUCAACACAUGUCGACACCAACAGGUCAAUGUAAGUUUUUGUAUCAGUGUUCGUUAACACUUUCACACAUCUUUUCAGUCUACCUAUUACUGUAAUCAGUGAUUUAUGAUUGAAUAAAUAGACAUUGGACCCCCCCCCCCAAGUCUACUUUAUGGCCAUUUUGUUAAUGUUUAACUAAUUAAGGGCCAGCACUCUCCCCUUGACAAGUGAAAUCAUCUGGCGUUAGACAGAGUGAAACGUUGGGCACAUCAGGCCGCAAUGCGACUCAAUGGGUUAAUGUAAAAUAGUAUUAUUAUACAACAACAACAGGGAGUUGCACAUUUGCAUGAUAACAUUUGUUGCAGGUUAAAGUCAUUACCAUGUGAGUAUAGUUACAAAGAUUUAUACAACAAAUUAGGCUUUUUAAAUAAUUAUGUCAUGUAUGCCGGUUUAGCCUGGGCACCUUGCUUUCAUGUAUCAGGAGACAAAAUGUGAUUGGAUCACUAUUCAUGGGAAUUUGUUGUUUGUAGGUGAGAUAUUUAAUAAAUAUUCUAGAAUAAUUUUGUCUGAGACACUCAGACACACAUUUUCUGAAACUCACAUUUCCUGUUACAAGAUUUUUAUAAGAGAGUCUUUGUAAUAGAUAAUUAACAUACAUUCAUGCAUACAAUGUAAAAUUUGUAAACAAAACUAACUUAUCUAGUUGUCUAUUAAUAUAUGAAUUUACUUAUCUAGCUUUCUAGUUAAUAUCUAUGCAAAGAAAACUAUAAAUUAUGCACAUAAUUUGUCAAUGAAUAUCAGACAUCGUCAAAAAUGCAAGAAAACGCAUCGUACAUUGUAGAAAAUGAGUUCAAAUACCUCAGCAAAGUGGCAUUUUCAUUUCGCCUAUAGUUUUUCACUCCUACGACGAUCGAAAGAGAAAAAUUCGUAAAAUAUUGCAAACUAAGUGUGAUGAACUCAC
Paramuricea clavata is the source of this 1535-nucleotide non-coding RNA. The record is from the annotation of a GenBank genome assembly. NCBI's taxonomy places the organism in Eukaryota, Metazoa, Cnidaria, Anthozoa, Malacalcyonacea, Plexauridae.